Molecule: long non-coding RNA, 223 nt
Filed under: Elaeis guineensis (African oil palm)
Lineage: Eukaryota; Viridiplantae; Streptophyta; Magnoliopsida; Arecales; Arecaceae
Description: long non-coding RNA (EGUI_LNC014623)
Source: RNAcentral
UUACAAGUGAGAACGUAGUACCCAUUUGAAACUAAUCAUGUAUAGAUUUUUAUUUUUCCAUCCGAGUAUGGAAGACUUAAGAAAAUAGUGAGAAUCUUGUUUAUUUUUAAAGUCUCUAGAAUAAAUAUUAACCAAAUACAAACAUCUAAUUAAAAAUUAUUUUCUCUAUAAAAAAUUAUGUCGAGUUCCAACCCUCUAGUCUGUAUCUUUGACUCCAAUAGGU